CGGGGUGUGGCGCAGUUGGUAGCGCGCAUCGUUUGGGACGAUGAGGCCAGAGGUUCAAGUCCUCUCACCCCGACCA
RNAcentral lists this transfer RNA (76 nucleotides) under candidate division WWE3 bacterium CG_4_9_14_0_2_um_filter_35_11. RNAcentral describes it as "tRNA-Pro". It matches the Rfam family "tRNA". Rfam says of the family: Transfer RNA (tRNA) molecules are approximately 80 nucleotides in length. The record is from RNAcentral. Lineage: Bacteria; candidate division WWE3. RNAcentral also lists the same sequence under 1 other name.